UGGGGAAUAUUGGACAAUGGGCGCAAGCCUGAUCCAGCCAUGCCGCGUGAGUGAUGAAGGCCCUAGGGUUGUAAAGCUCUUUCACCGGUGAAGAUAAUGACGGUAACCGGAGAAGAAGCCCCGGCUAACUUCGUGCCAGCAGCCGCGGUAAUACGAAGGGGGCUAGCGUUGUUCGGAUUUACUGGGCGUAAAGCGCACGUAGGCGGACUUUUAAGUCAGGGGUGAAAUCCCGGGGCUCAACCCCGGAACUGCCUUUGAUACUGGAAGUCUUGAGUAUGGUAGAGGUGAGUGGAAUUCCGAGUGUAGAGGUGAAAUUCGUAGAUAUGCGGAGGAACACCAGUGGAGAAGGCGGCUCACUGGACCAUUACUGACGCUGAGGUGCGAAAGAGUGGGGAGCAAACAGG
RNAcentral lists this ribosomal RNA (404 nucleotides) under Actinomycetes bacterium. Its description in RNAcentral is "Actinobacteria bacterium partial 16S ribosomal RNA". It matches the Rfam family "Bacterial small subunit ribosomal RNA", at positions 355 to 776 of the family's 1533-position model. The record is from RNAcentral. Lineage: Bacteria; Bacillati; Actinomycetota; Actinomycetes.